Molecule: ribosomal RNA, 490 nt
Filed under: uncultured bacterium
Lineage: Bacteria
Description: bacterial SSU rRNA
Rfam family: Bacterial small subunit ribosomal RNA
Source: RNAcentral
UGAACGCUGGCGGCGUGCUUAACACAUGCAAGUCGAACGGAGUUUAUAAGCGGAAGUCUUCGGAUGGAAGCUUAUAACUUAGUGGCGGACGGGUGAGUAACGCGUGGGUAACCUGCCUUAGUACAGGGGGAUAACAGCUGGAAACGGCUGCUAAUACCGCAUAAGCGCACAGUACUGCAUGGUACCGUGUGAAAAAGAUUAUAUCGGUAUAAGAUGGACCCGCGUCUGAUUAGCUAGUUGGUGGGGUAACGGCCUACCAAGGCGACGAUCAGUAGCCGGCUUGAGAGAGUGAACGGCCACAUUGGGACUGAGACACGGCCCAAACUCCUACGGGAGGCAGCAGUGGGGAAUAUUGCACAAUGGGGGAAACCCUGAUGCAGCCGACGCCGCGUGAGUGAAGAAGUAUUUCGGUAUGUAAAGCUCUAUCAGCAGGGACGAUAAUGACGGUACCUGACUAAGAAGCCCCGGCUAACUACGUGCCAGCCGCUGC